ACAUUUUACCAGGUGCUGAGGGAAAAGCUGCCUUCCCACAAGAGGAUGGGCCCACGCUGCUGCAGUACAUGGCAUCCCACACCCUGACCAUCACAUAGGCCUGCUUUUGAAAACCUAAGUCCACAUGAGAUGCCUAUACAUGGUACCUAGGUAAACACACAGAAAAGCAUCAUCCUCAGCCAGCAGCACACGGAAAGUGGAAAAGCCUGGCCCACCUUACAGUGACACCGCAGAUAUGAACAAGACCCUAGGAGGUCAGAUCCAGGGAGGACUGGGCUGCGCUGUGUGCACUCUGAAGGCUGAAGAUGAUGGUAUGCACUCAGGCAGCGAGUCCCCCAGGGGAAAGGCUCUGCUGUGGGUGUGGGAUAGGGAAGAAACAGGGACUGAGCCCUUAGGCAAGGAGCUCUGCAACUUGCAACUUACUUACAAUGCCUGUGUGUUUGGCUAAUGACAAAAAACCCCCACCCUGGAAUGUGUGAUAAGGAAAAAACAAACAAUGUACUCCCUUGUAAGAUGUUUUUUCAGAAGGACUGGCUCAAAAUGGUCCCUGCAGCAUGCCUACACAUCUGCAAGGUGACCGAUGGAUGACUUCUGCCCAAGACAGUAAUUGAACCCGCACCACAGGAGGGACUGCACAGGUGCAACACCCCAUAAUAAGUGCUGCCAACCUUCCCAGAAGCCUUUGUCACAGACUCCAUCUUACUGGCAGAGUGCACACACAGGUAAGGAACUAAAUAGUCACAUCGAACUGAACUGCUUAUACCAAAAAAAGCAUUAUCUGAAAUCCUAGCUGCUGAUUUGCUAUUACCCCACUUCCUUUUCUUAGCGAAUAAUAAAAGCUUGAGACAAAGACUUGUGCAAGGGAGUAGUAGCCUGCUAGAGUGCUAUACACUGGGCUGCUGCCCCACUGUGCAGUGCUUUCAUUUUCUAAUAAAGGUUUUCCUUUCAAAAGUCAGCCAAGUCUCCGUAAGUAAUUCUUUUCUUGUGGGUAAGACAAUGACUCACUUUUUGAGGUCCGUGGUUCUCAGACUGUAACAUCUCUGGCGACUCUGGUGGGAUUCUUCAACAACGCCUGAGACCACAGCCCAGGGGGACAACGGAAGGGCCAUCUCACCAAAGGGACAGGCAAACAGCCACCAGAGUGUUUGACUCCUAGCCUUCUCCAUAGAUAGACUAUGCUGGACCUACGACAGGGACUGCGACUGGACUCAAUCAGGAUUUCCAGAGCUCUUAAUACGGAUGCUGGUGGUUUUGCAGACUGCAGCUGAUCCAGAAUCACUUGGAACAGAAAUUAACUACACAAGACUGAGUCAACGAAACGACACUGUGGGUUUCAUGUGAGAACACUGCCGAUGUUUUAGUCUUUCUUUCUGGAAAUAUGAAAUGUUUUAAGGUCCUACUUUCUAGAUAUUAAAAAACCAUUUCCUCUUUUCUCCUAAAUUAUCUAACUAGUGGGUUUAGAUAUUUUAACUCUUGAAUUAAAAGUUCCUGUUGACAAACUUAACAAAGUUAGAAAUAUCACCAGAAAGUGUCUGAAAUUUGAGCUAUGAUUUUACAAGUUAGACCAACAUUAGGUUUCCUAUCCUCUCAAGGACAGUCUGUCCCUCAAUAGAUUAAUGUUGCUGUAUUUAUAUUAAUAUACAACCUAAAGUCUGAGAGAAUAUAGUUGCUGCUGAAGCACGUGAAAAACACUUACUGAUGCUGUUUAUGCAUAAACAAACACCUCAUGAGAUUUAUUUCCUUGGUUCAAAGACCUCAGGGUCAUGGUUACAUUGGUUAUUUCAGACAAUUGGCCUAAUAUUAUUGUUAGUGUUUCUGUUCUACCUCCUGAUUUGCUAUAUGGCCCUGAGAUCUUAGAAACCAAAUAGUGGCCAAUUACUAUUUAUUGAGCUCUUUUUUGAUCAAAGAUUCUAUAACAAGAUCAUGAUUCAAAAGAGGGAACCAUGAGAGAGUUGUACAUAAUUCUGCUAGAAUCCAAAUUUCUGGUUUUCACAGAGGCUGGGGCAACCUACAUAGACCAUCAACUUUGGGUGUCCUUUUGAACCUUAAGCUUUGAGAAAAAACUGAUUUCUGAAGCCACUUUGAGUCAAACAACUGUCCAGAUAAACUAGCAAGAUCAUUUUUGCUCUGGGCAUUGUGCUUUUUUUUUUAAAGGAUUCAGUCUGUUUUGAGAAACUGACUCCAAAGAUUAGAUGGAGAGUUAUGUUUAGGGUAAAUCAGUAAUCAUUUAAUCAGUCUUCAAGACAAUGUUGUAUGAAGUACCUGUCUAAUGUUUGUAAUCAAACUCUCACCCUCUUGCUAUACAGAAAAUUAUGCAACUUAACUAAGGUUCUCAGAAGAGAUUGAUCUCAUGGGUCAGACUCCAUGUUGUCUUAGACUCCACUUCUGCUUCUGAGAAGGUGACCCAUGACUCUUAAUAGGUAAACCAAAGAGGCGCAGCUUGCCCUCAGGGAGGACACUUAGUAUGUUUUAGACAGAUUAACUAGAAGACCUCCAACAGGAGAAGUCCAUCCUGUACUAUCUUGCUAAUCAUGAAUUCUCUAAUGAAAACUCAGUUGUCACAUGUAAGUUUUUCUAUAUUUUCUGUUUUCUGUAAACAAACUUUGUGUGUUCCUUCUAGAUAUGUUCUUAUGUGAUAUAUCCACCUAUACUAGUUUAAAUGAUCCCUUUGUGACUAAUAGUAAAUUUACGGGGACAAUUUCUUUAGAUUCCCGAUAAAUGUGUGGACAAUAAACUUUGAAAGCUUUAGGAUUAUCUUUAAAUAUCCAUAGUAAAUAUUGGAAGGAUAAUGUAAAAUUUGUUACCCACUGUUUUUUUUUUUUUUUUUGUAAAACAA
Loxodonta africana (African savanna elephant) is the source of this 2836-nucleotide long non-coding RNA. RefSeq lists it as uncharacterized. The transcript has 2 exons. NCBI's taxonomy places the organism in Eukaryota, Metazoa, Chordata, Mammalia, Proboscidea, Elephantidae. The record is from RefSeq and is a predicted model, not a curated record.